GCAUAUCAAUAAGCGGAGGAAAAGAAACCAACAGGGAUUGCCCCAGUAACGGCGAGUGAAGCGGCAACAGCUCAAAUUUGAAAUCUGGCUUCGGCCCGAGUUGUAAUUUGCAGAGGAAGCUUUAGGCGCGGCACCAUCUGAGUCCCCUGGAACGGGGCGCCACAGAGGGUGAGAGCCCCGUAUAGAUGGACGCCUAGCCUGUGUAAAGCUCCUUCGACGAGUCGAGUAGUUUGGGAAUGCUGCUCUAAAUGGGAGGUAAAUUUCUUCUAAAGCUAAAUACCGGCCAGAGACCGAUAGCGCACAAGUAGAGUGAUCGAAAGAUGAAAAGCACUUUGAAAAGAGGGUUAAAUAGCACGUGAAAUUGUUGAAAGGGAAGCGCUUGUGACCAGACUUGCGCCGGGCGGAUCAUCCGGUGUUCUCACCGGUGCACUCCGCCCGGCUCAGGCCAGCAUCGGUUCUCGUGGGGGGACAAAGGUCCCGGGAACGUAGCUCCUCCGGGAGUGUUAUAGCCCGGGGCGUAAUGCCCUCGCGGGGACCGAGGACCGCGCUUCGGCAAGGAUGCUGGCGUAAUGGUCAUCAGCGACCCGUCUUGAAACACGGACCAAGGAGUCAAGGUUUUGCGCGAGUGUUUGGGUGUAAAACCCGCACGCGUAAUGAAAGUGAACGUAGGUGAGAGCUUCGGCGCAUCAUCGACCGAUCCUGAUGUUUUCGGAUGGAUUUGAGUAGGAGCGUUAAGCCUUGGACCCGAAAGAUGGUGAACUAUGCUUGGAUAGGGUGAAGCCAGAGGAAACUCUGGUGGAGGCUCGCAGCGGUUCUGACGUGCAAAUCGAUCGUCAAAUCUGAGCAUGGGGGCGAAAGACUAAUCGAACCAUCUAGUAGCUGGUUACCGCCGAA
RNAcentral lists this ribosomal RNA (894 nucleotides) under Botryotrichum murorum. RNAcentral describes it as "LSU rRNA". It matches the Rfam family "Eukaryotic large subunit ribosomal RNA", at positions 38 to 965 of the family's 3401-position model. The record is from RNAcentral. Lineage: Eukaryota; Fungi; Ascomycota; Sordariomycetes; Sordariales; Chaetomiaceae.